CGCGGCCUAUCAGCUUGUUGGUGGGGUAACGGCUCACCAAGGCAUCGACGGGUAGCAGGUCUGAGAGGACGAUCAGCCACACUGGGACUGAGACACGGCCCAGACUCCUACGGGAGGCAGCAGCAGGGAAUAUUGCGCAAUGGGCGAAAGCCUGACGCAGCGACACCGCGUGAAGGAUGAGGCCCUCGGGUUGUAAACUUCUUUCAGUGGGGAAGAAGCGAAAGUGACGGUACCCACAGAAGAAGCCCCGGCCAACUACGUGCCAGCAGCCGCGGUAAUACGUAGGGGGCAAGCGUUGUCCGGAUUCAUUGGGCGUAAAGAGCUCGUAGGCGGCUUGGCAAGUCGGUCGUGAAAUACCGAGGCUCAACCUCGGAACGCCGAUCGAAACUGCCAUGGCUAGGGUCCGGUAGAGGAGAGUGGAAUUCCCGGUGUAGCGGUGAAAUGCGCAGAUAUCGGGAGGAACACCAGUAGCGAAGGCGGCUCUCUGGGCCGGUACCGACGCUGAGGAGCGAAAGCGUGGGGGGCAAACAGGAUUAGAUACCCUGGUAGUCCACGCCGUAAACGUUGGGUACUAGGUGUGGCGGGUUCAUCAAUGCCCGCCGUACCGAAGCUAACGCAUUAAGUACCCCGCCUGGGGAGUACGG
This 644-nucleotide ribosomal RNA is filed under the name uncultured bacterium. RNAcentral's name for it is "bacterial SSU rRNA". It matches the Rfam family "Bacterial small subunit ribosomal RNA", at positions 232 to 885 of the family's 1533-position model. The record is from RNAcentral.